AUCCUGGCUCNAGGACGAACGCUUGGCGGCGUGCCUAAUACAUGCAAGUCGAGCGGACAGAUGGGAGCUUGCUCCCUGAUGUUAAGCGGCGGACGGUGAGUAACACGUAGGUAACCUGCCNGUAAGACUGGGAUAACUCCGGAAACCGGGGCUAAUACCGGAUGGCUGUUUGAACCGCAUGGUUCAAACAUAAAAGGUGGCUUCGGCNACCACUCUACAGAUGGACCCGCGGCGCAUUAGCUAGUUGGUGAGGUAACGGCUCACCAAGGCGACGAUGCGUAGCCGACCUGAGAGGCGAUCGCCACACCGGGACCGAGACACGGCCCAGACCCUACGGGAGGCAGCGAGGAAUCUUCCGCAAUGGACGAAAGUCUGACGGAGCAACGCCGCGUGAGUGAUGAAGGUUUCGGAUCGUAAAGCUCUGUUGUAAAGAACAAGUGCCGUUCGAAUAGGGCGGUACCUUGACGGUACCUNCCGGAAAGCCACGGUUAACUACGUGCCAGCAGCCGCGGUAAUACGUAGGUGGAAAGCGUUGUCCGGAAUUAUNGCGUAAAGGGCUCGCAGGCGGUUUCUUAAGUCUGAUGUGAAAGCCCCGGCUCAACCGGGGAGGGUCAUUGGAAACCGGGAACUUGGUGCAGAAAGGAGAGUGGAAUUCACGUGUAGCGGUGAAAUGCGCAGAGAUGUGGAGGAACACCAGUGGCGAAGGCGACUCUGGUCUGUAACUGACGCUGAGGAGCGAAAGCGUGGGGAGCGAACAGGAUUAGAUACCCUAGUCCACGCCGUAAACGAUGAGUGCUAAGUGUUAGGGGUUUCCGCCCUUAGUGCUGCAGCUAACGCAUUAAGCACUCCGCCUGGGGAGUACGGUCGCAAGACUGAAACUCAAAGGAAUUGACGGGGCCCACAAGCAGUGGAGCAUGUGGUUUACCCGAAGCAACGCGAAGAACCUACCAGGUCUUGACAUCCCCUGACAAUCCUAGAGAUAGGACGUCCCCUUCGGGGGCAGAGUGACAGGUGGUGCAUGGUUGUCGUCGUCAGCUCGUGUCGUGAGAUGUUGGGUUAAGUCCCGCAACGAGCGCAACCCUUGAUCUUAGUUGCCAGCAUUCAGUUGGGCACUCUAAGGUGACUGCCGGUGACAAACUGGAGGAAGGUGGAUGACGUCAAAUCAUNNCGCCCCUUAUGACCUGGGCUACACGUGCUACAAUGGACAGAACAAAGGGCAGCGAAACCGCGAGGUCAAGCCAAUCCCACAAAUCUGUUCUCAGUUCGGAUCGCAGUCUGCAACUCGACUGCGNNNUGAAUCGCUAAUGUAAUCGCGAUCAGCAUGCCGCGGUGAAUACGUUCCUGGCCUUGUCACACCGCCCGUCACACCACGAGAGUUUGUAACCCGAAGUCGGUGAGGUAACCUUUUAGGAGCCAGCCGCCGAAGGUGGGACAGAUGAUUGGGGUGAAGUCGAACGAGGUAGCCGUAUCGGAAGGUGCGGCUG
RNAcentral lists this ribosomal RNA (1484 nucleotides) under metagenome. Its description in RNAcentral is "bacterial SSU rRNA". It matches the Rfam family "Bacterial small subunit ribosomal RNA". The record is from RNAcentral.